Molecule: ribosomal RNA, 129 nt
Filed under: Chinchilla lanigera (long-tailed chinchilla)
Lineage: Eukaryota; Metazoa; Chordata; Mammalia; Rodentia; Chinchillidae
Source: RNAcentral
GUCUAUGGCCAUACCACCUGAAACAUGCCUAAUCUUGUUCGAUCUCAGAAAGUAAGCAGGAUCGAACCUCGUUAGUACUUGGAUGGGAAAAAUGAACUAAAUGGGGGAAUUCUUUGGUGAAUGUACUCA